Molecule: non-coding RNA, 956 nt
Organism: Ictidomys tridecemlineatus (thirteen-lined ground squirrel)
Lineage: Eukaryota; Metazoa; Chordata; Mammalia; Rodentia; Sciuridae
Source: RefSeq, a predicted model, not a curated record
UUGACCAGUUCUCAGCCACAAAUGAGGAUUCUAUUGGAUGAAAGACCACUCUUAACACACUGUGCCAAAGAACUUGCCUACAUUGCGUCCAUGGCCUAAGACCUUGUGGAAGAAUAAACUUAAAGUCAUGACAGCAGGAUGCUCAGCAGCCCUGUCAUAUUGAGAAGUGAUGGUAAGGACAGAAGCCAAGUACCAUGGAUGGCAGAAAGGAGGUUCUACUCACUGAUGACCACAUGGCCAUCUUAGAGCCCUGGGCUGACCCUGCUGAACUCUUCAUUGACUAUAAAAGUGGGGGUUUGUUUUGAAGUGGACGUGACUAAUACCUAUCACAUCUUUGAAUUCAUCUUCAAUGAGAUUCAACAAAUUUCAGAGCACUAAAUCCUGUCCCUGCCUUGUGAAUUGAUCUGGCAACCUUGCCAGUGAAUGAGAUAGUGUCCAGCUGUCCCAUUUGAGCCGUCUGAGCCAGCAUAGAGCUAGAUGACCGACAAAUAAGAGUGCUUAGCCAAGAGAAUGGCUUGCUUGACCAACACCUGGUUACAGAUGAGCCUGCCAUGAUGAGAACACUUCAUCCCUGCCAAUAGUGUUCAUGUGUAAAUAGUUAAUGAAUUUUGUAAGAGCUUGGAGAAUGCUUAAGAAGAAUACUAUUAAUCAUCAUCAGUAGCAACAGAAGAAAGGACAAGGACCCCUACAACUAGAUGAGGAAUGUCUGAUUUCCUCCUAUGGAAAUACAGAUUGCAAGAGAUGACGGGAUGAAAAAGUCAGUGCAUCUUUAAAGAACAGAGAAAAGCAAUACUAGGCCCUGAUGAAAGUGUUGAAGGUCCACCAUUUGGGGCCUCCUCCUACAACCUCCUACUUUGAAUACCAUCUGGAGCUAUGGAAGUACCUGGUGACCAAGAGGGAGCAGCCAUGGGGAUGUAGACAAUCAAGAAUAUGGUGACAAUGCUACCUACCAUUGG